CAUUGAAUGGCUGAAAAAAGCAAUGGUCUCUUAAACCAAUUCAUAGUUUAUAUUAACUUUCAAUGG
RNAcentral lists this transfer RNA (66 nucleotides) under Dermacentor steini. RNAcentral describes it as "tRNA-Lys". It matches the Rfam family "tRNA". From Rfam's summary of the family: Transfer RNA (tRNA) molecules are approximately 80 nucleotides in length. Their secondary structure includes four short double-helical elements and three loops (D, anti-codon, and T loops). Further hydrogen bonds mediate the characteristic L-shaped molecular structure. tRNAs have two regions of fundamental functional importance: the anti-codon, which is responsible for specific mRNA codon recognition, and the 3' end, to which the tRNAs corresponding amino acid is attached (by aminoacyl-tRNA synthetases). tRNAs cope with the degeneracy of the genetic code in two manners: having more than one tRNA (with a specific anti-codon) for a particular amino acid; and 'wobble' base-pairing, i.e. permitting non-standard base-pairing at the 3rd anti-codon position. The record is from RNAcentral. Lineage: Eukaryota; Metazoa; Arthropoda; Arachnida; Ixodida; Ixodidae.